Molecule: non-coding RNA, 797 nt
Organism: Cinara cedri
Lineage: Eukaryota; Metazoa; Arthropoda; Insecta; Hemiptera; Aphididae
Source: the annotation of a GenBank genome assembly
GGACAAUUUUAGACAAUUUUACGUAGGUGGGAGUCACCUAUGGCCAUUCAUGUAAACAUGAGCUUUUAGUGUUAUUUUGUAACUUUGAUAGUUAUACGGCUAUUAUCGACCUCAAUCAAUUUACCGAGCGAUUUACCGUAAGAUGGCCAUCAUAGUUUAGUUUCGAAUUGUCAACCGUAAGUUGAUUAAAUCAAAUAUUAAUGGAAGAUAGUACUUAGGUGGUGACUCCUAACUUAAAACUGAAUUUUUUAAUGUUCAUCGCGCGUAUAAGUAUAACUGGUAUCUAUAAUUUUGCCGCAAUUAUUUUUUUUAAAUGAGUAUUUUUAUAUUUUUACCUUUACCCAAUUUCGCAAAUGAAAAAAUAUUAACAUGUCCGAUUUGAGUUGUGUGCAUAACUGUUGGGAAAUAUUUUAGCGAAUAAUCGGUUUUAUAACUCAUCCGUGUGCAUUUCAACCCCUCAAAGUAAUAUGUAAAAUAAACAUAAAUUUCUCCAUAGCCACUCGCACAAUUUCUUAUGACCGGUUAAAUUAUGAUGUUAUAUUUUUUACUACAUUUUUUUUUUUUUUUUUACUAUUAUUAUUUAACUGUUCCGUCCUGUUAUAUAACCGUUAUAAUAUAAUAUUAUAUUAUAAUAUAUGUUAAUGUUAAUUACUUGUACGGAUUUUGCCAAAGCCUGUGAUAAUAAUUAUUGUUUACAGAUACGUUUAUAUAAAUUGAAUUUGUAUAAGUUUGUACCUAAUUUUUUUUUUUUUAUUUUUACGAUGUUAAUAACUAUAUAAUACGGAUACCUACCUACG